GAACUUUCUUAGUGGCGAACGGGUGAGUAAUGCGUGGGCACCUGCCCUCUAGAUGGGGACAACAUCCCGAAAGGGGUGCUAAUACCGAAUGUGCUCGCAUGAGGAAAGAUGGCCUUUUUAAAGCUAUCGCAGAGGAUGGGCCUGCGUCUGAUUAGCUAGUUGGUGGGGUAACGGCCUACCAAGGCGAUGAUCAGUAGCCGGUCUGAGAGGAUGAACGGCCACAUUGGGACUGAGACACGGCCCAGACUCCUACGGGAGGCAGCAGUGGGGAAUCUUCCGCAAUGGGCGAAAGCCUGACGGAGCAAUGCCGCGUGAGUGAUGAAGGAAUUCGUUCCGUAAAGCUCUUUUGUUUAUGACGAAGUGCAGAUUGUGAAUAAUGAUCUGUAAUGACGGUAGUAAACGAAUAAGCCACGGCUAACUACGUGCCAGCAGCCGCGGUAAUACGUAGGUGGCGAGCGUUGUCCGGAAUUAUUGGGCGUAAAGAGCAUGUAGGCGGUUUUUUAAGUCUGGAGUGAAAAUGCGGGGCUCAACCCCGUAUGGCUCUGGAUACUGGAAGACUUGAGUGCAGGAGA
RNAcentral lists this ribosomal RNA (572 nucleotides) under uncultured bacterium. RNAcentral's name for it is "bacterial SSU rRNA". It matches the Rfam family "Bacterial small subunit ribosomal RNA", at positions 84 to 655 of the family's 1533-position model. The record is from RNAcentral.